RNAcentral lists this unclassified non-coding RNA (194 nucleotides) under uncultured fungus. Its description in RNAcentral is "sequence contains ITS1". Lineage: Eukaryota; Fungi. The record is from RNAcentral.
UUGAUUUAUUUUUGCAUUAUGCCACUCAGAAGAUACUGAAAAAAACAAGAGUUUGAUUUCCCCGGCGGGUGCCUGGUUCCAGGCCACAAGGGCGCUGGGGCAAUCCCGCCGAAGUAACAAUAGGUAUGUUCACAGGGGUUUGAGAGUUGUAAAUAUACUCUGUAAUGAUCCCUCCGCUGGUUCACCAACGGAGA